UGAGGAAUAUUGGUCAAUGGGCGGAAGCCUGAACCAGCCAUCCUGCGUGCAGGAAGACGGCCCUAUGGGUUGUAAACUGCUUUUCCAGGGGGAGAAACUUUCCGAUGAAUCGGGAUUUGACGGUACCCUGGGAAUAAGUAUCGGCUAACUCCGUGCCAGCAGCCGCGGUAAUACGGAGGAUGCGAGCGUUAUCCGGAUUUAUUGGGUUUAAAGGGUGCGUAGACGGAUCGAUAAGUCAGUGGUGAAAACCUGCAGCUUAACUGUAGACUUGCCGUUGAUACUGUUGGUCUUGAGUAUGGUCAAGGUAGGCGGAAUGUGUAAUGUAGCGGUGAAAUGCUUAGAUAUUACACAGAACACCGAUUGCGAAGGCAGCUUACUGGACCAUCACUGACGCUGAUGCACGAAAGCGUGGGGAUCGAACAG
This 423-nucleotide ribosomal RNA is filed under the name uncultured bacterium. RNAcentral describes it as "bacterial SSU rRNA". It matches the Rfam family "Bacterial small subunit ribosomal RNA", at positions 355 to 775 of the family's 1533-position model. The record is from RNAcentral.